RNAcentral lists this long non-coding RNA (586 nucleotides) under Sus scrofa (pig). RNAcentral's name for it is "lncRNA (ENSSSCG00055005165.1)". Lineage: Eukaryota; Metazoa; Chordata; Mammalia; Artiodactyla; Suidae. The record is from RNAcentral.
CAAUUUUCCUCCUCAUCAGUCAGCAUGUUCACAUUGCCGUAUAUGCACUUUGCUAGUGCAAAAUCAUUGGAAACAUAACAUUCCUUCCUUUUGAAAUCUUAACUGCAUGUUUUGUUAAACCUACAUGCCUCUUUCUUAUUCGGGAUCUAUAAUGAAUGCAUACUUCUCUCGGGUUCCUGUCCUAACUCCCCCCACCCAAGAGAGAACACCAAAACCUAACACACUCAUUGCCAGAGCCAAGCAGCCGAACUCCACUUGGUACUGACUCUGCAUAAAUGAAUACCUAGCUUUCGUAUUUACAGCUAAUUGAUACACGUUCGUUUUGCCUUUUAGCUUCUCCUGAAAAACAUCCUCACUCGAAGCCUCCAGUUGGAGUGACCAAUGUUCGUAAAAUAAAAGUUGGAACAAAGGAUUUGCCAACGUCCAGAUCAGAUUUGUCAACAGAACAAGACUUAGAAAUGAAGUCAGAGGAAGAGCAAGAAAGGCCUGCUGGAAAUGAAAAUAACCACCCACAGGUUGAAGCAGAAAAGAAGGAGCACAGAAGCAGUGUGAUGGAAGCGUCAGAGAGCAGAUGUGAUGCUGAUGA